ACGUUUAUCACAUUCUGCUGCUGCUGAGGGGCACAAUCAAAACAAUCUCUCAGUAAAUUAAACCUGAACCUAGCAGAACGAAGCCAGCAGUCCAGUCAGCGAAAACCAACACAGAUACAUUUCUCCCACAAGUCUCUGCAGAACACCAAAGAUGAUGUUUAGCUGGACGUCCAGGCUGCGCUUUCCCAUUCAAUGAAAGUGAAUGGGGAUCUAUACUCAAUAUUUCACUGUAAAUAUAAAGAAGAAAAAAAAAACAAUCAUGAGGCUCUGGAAAGACAAGAGGGUGAAGAAUGCCAGGAUUUAUUUAAUUUUAUAAAUGUAUAAAUCUUUUUUUAUUGUAUGUUAUAUUUCUGGAUGAACUAUUCCUAAACCUUUUUGACUUGUAGACACCCACCUUCCAAGUUGAUAUCUGAAUAUCUAAAAUAAAUUAAAUUCCAUAU
Long non-coding RNA from Cyprinus carpio (common carp), 440 nucleotides. RefSeq lists it as uncharacterized. The transcript is spliced from 3 exons. NCBI's taxonomy places the organism in Eukaryota, Metazoa, Chordata, Actinopteri, Cypriniformes, Cyprinidae. The record is from RefSeq and is a predicted model, not a curated record.